RNAcentral lists this ribosomal RNA (588 nucleotides) under uncultured bacterium. RNAcentral's name for it is "partial 16S ribosomal RNA". It matches the Rfam family "Bacterial small subunit ribosomal RNA", at positions 355 to 937 of the family's 1533-position model. The record is from RNAcentral.
UGGGGAAUCUUCCGCAAUGGACGAAAGUCUGACGGAGCAACGCCGCGUGUAUGAUGAAGGUCUUCGGAUUGUAAAGUACUGUCAUUGGGGAAGAACGGUUUUCUUGAAAAGAUUGAGAAGACAUGACGGUACCCAAGGAGGAAGCCCCGGCUAACUACGUGCCAGCAGCCGCGGUAAUACGUAGGGGGCAAGCGUUGUCCGGAAUUAUUGGGCGUAAAGGGCGCGUAGGCGGGCCUUUAAGUCCGGUGUGAAAGAUCAGGGCUCAACCCUGAGAGUGCAUCGGAAACUGGAGGCCUUGAGGACAGGAGAGGAAAGUGGAAUUCCACGUGUAGCGGUGAAAUGCGUAGAUAUGUGGAGGAACACCAGUGGCGAAGGCGACUUUCUGGACUGUAACUGACGCUGAGGCGCGAAAAGCGUGGGGAGCAAACAGGAUUAGAUACCCUGGUAGUCCACGCCGUAAACGAUGAGUGCUAGGUGUAGAGGGUAUCGACCCCUUCUGUGCCGCAGUUAACACAAUAAGCACUCCGCCUGGGGAGUACGGCCGCAAGGUUGAAACUCAAAUGAAUUGACGGGGUCAUAGCUGUUUCC